UUGCCAGGCCACACAGCCCAGGGCAGGCAGCAGCAGGACCCCACUAGGGCUGGGGAGGGUGACGGUGCCCAGCGGGCCCUGGGGCAUCUGCCAGGCUCCAGCCCAAACUCCCGGGCCUGUCCCAACAAAUCACCCCCACCCCGCUCCCCAAACAUUUCUGGCUUCUGAAGCAGCUUCCCUCCCCGGGUCUGGCUGCCAGCGGCUCCCAGCAGACACACGGGACUCUGCCAUCCCCUGCCCUGGCCCGGCCGGCCCUGAGAGCCACAUGCCCAGACAGCGAGAAUGAUGGCCCUGCGGGCAGGUGCAGGAGUUAACAGCCCCUCCUGGCUGUCUCAGCACCGAGCAAGGAAGCCUGGGACUGCCGACUCGGCCUGGCCUCCUUGGGUGAAAAGGACUUUCCACCAUUGCAGCCGAUGCCCAAACAGGGCUGGGCGCCCCACCUCUGCCUCCCCGCCCAGCAUGCCCUGGGCCCGCACUCAGCAGUUCCGGACGGGCCCAGCGCCUGGCAGGGGCCCAGCUGGCAUGGGCUGGGCUGGAUUAACUCUCGAGGAGCCUGGAGGAGUCCUGGGUGCCAGCCAGAUGGCCCAGGGCUCCCCUCUGAAACCAGCUGCAGGAGCUGAGGGAGCUUCGAAGGUCGCCCAGCUCCUUCCACCAAGCCCGUCUCGCUGGCUCCAGCUCCUCCUCCACCCAGGACACACAGGGAUGUGCAGCCUCCGUUCUCUGCUAUGGCUGGGACAGCAGCAAAAGAUGGUCCAAGUCCUUGGGCCCCUGCACCCGCAUGGGAGACCCAGAGGAAGCUCCUGGCUCCUGGCUUCGGAUCAGCCAAGCUCCAGACGUUUUGGCCAUUUGGGGAGUGAACCAGCAGAUGGAAGACCUUUCUUUCUGUCUCCCCCUCUUUCUGUCUGUAACUCUGCCUCUCAAAUACAUAAAUCUUUAAAAAAUACACUCAUUUUUUUUUUUUUUUAAAA
This is a long non-coding RNA of Oryctolagus cuniculus (rabbit), 968 nucleotides long. RefSeq lists it as uncharacterized. Lineage: Eukaryota; Metazoa; Chordata; Mammalia; Lagomorpha; Leporidae. The record is from RefSeq and is a predicted model, not a curated record.